GACGUACUUGACAAAGGCCCAGCCAGAGCCGAUCAAAGCGAUGGUGAUGAAGAGGAGAGCGCCCUUCAGCCUGGGGAGUGUGUGUGAUGAGGAGCCUCAGAGGGGCCAAUGCACUUGCCCAAGAUCACACGGAUGAGGGGCAGAGCUACACACUGAGGACAGGGGGCUUGGAAACUUGUGCUCUUCGCCCUGCUCCAGCAAACUCCUCAAAGCCCCUCACCAGCGGGGCCUUCUCUUCUGUCUCCUGGAGGCCCAGACGCAGGAGGCUCAGGUCCACCUCCAGGGAGCCAUUGGUGUAGAAGCCGAAGCUAUUCAGCUGGAUGUCUGCUCGCUUCUCCCCCUGCCGGAGACCAAGGAGGAAGAGGCAGCGGCAGCUCAGACUUCUUUCCAACUCAGCCCCACGGCUCUGGCGCGAGGUCCCCCUAAGAGCUCGGCCCCCUCCUGGUACCCCUAGAUUGAGGACAGGUCCAAAGAGUAAUGGGAGAGGCUGAGAGGGCCUUCCCGGAGGCCAUGUCCCCAGACCAAUCCCCCGGGGAGGAACAGGGUAGCCCCACAUCCUCCAGCCACCAUUCUGAGAGUCCAGCAAAAGAAAGCCUGGGGCAUUUGCGAGUCUCCGCACUUGGUGAACACCACCCCAAGAGCAGAGUUAUUUAUCUUGGUGCGCCGAGCUCUGACCUCCCAGUUUGUAGAUUCCAAAUGAGUCCCCAAGAUCCCAGUGAGUGCCCAGAGAACCCAAUCCUAGAAACCCCAGGGACUCCCCUGGGCGGCGCCAAAGGUGCCAGCGGCCCCAGAGCAAUCUCAAGAAUUUAGAGGACUAAGGGGCGGGCGGGAGGGGGUGGGGUGUUCCCUGGAGCUGAAGACCCACCCCCCCAACGGGCGGGGCACAGUCCUAACACUGCCAGCCAGGCUGCGCCACCAAAGGACUGAAGGGACUCCUCGGACGAGACCACUCCGGGCCUGGAGGCGGGGGGCGCCGGACCGCUCCAUCCCACGUAAGACGAGGGGGAGGUAGGACGAGACCACUCCAAACCAGGGGCUUCUUCGAGACAACACUGCGCCCCCCGCCCCAGUCCGCCGCGCGGCGGGACUCACCGUCAGCGCCAGUCGGUGGAUGCGCCCAGAACAGCCACCCAAGAGCAGCAGCAGAAGUAGCAGCUGCCCCCACUCCGGGGGGCUCCGGCGGGCGAGCCCCCUCCUCUCGCUCACUGCCAUCUCUAGAGCCACCACCUCCCCUGAUACCGCCUCUGACGCCCCCACCGCCAACGGGUGAGCCAAUCGCCACGCGGUGAGGGCCGACCUUCCGGCAUUUCCAGCCCGCCCAGCCAAUCAGCGACUCUUUCCUAGAAAAUCCGCAUCCCCACCCCCGCACGACACCAAACAGACAACAACGGCUCCGAAUGGGGUGCUGAUAAUGAUUAACCCCCAUCUCCGCUCUCACCAAUCAUUAGAAAGAUUGUCCCGAUGUAAUUUGACAAACAGUCCACCUAACCAAUUGUGAUGGAUCUGAUAUCCCGCCCUUGAAGCGGAACUCCUUCAUCCACGCCCAACUGAACGUCUGUCCAGGACUACGUUACCCAGAAUGCAGUGAGAGCAGACAGCGCAACAGGGCAUUCAAUAAACUACAUAUCCCAAUA
Lynx canadensis (Canada lynx) is the source of this 1634-nucleotide long non-coding RNA. RefSeq lists it as uncharacterized. Lineage: Eukaryota; Metazoa; Chordata; Mammalia; Carnivora; Felidae. The record is from RefSeq and is a predicted model, not a curated record. The transcript has 2 exons.